CCAAAUCCAGCCGAUUUGGGCCGCCGUCCAUGUAUUCACGACCGAUGACCAGCGUCGUGCGAGAGUAUUUUCGAUCAACGUGUUGAAGCACGUUCAAAGGCCAAAGUUUUAGAUCGGGGAAACGAGGAGAAAAAUGAAGGGUUCUUGGCCCUUCCCUAAACUCACAUCCGACAACGGCGAAGGGCCGUUAAUGGCGGAUCUCCGAGCCAAUUCAAGUAACUUUCCUUUUACUUUUUUUUAAAAGGGUUUGUAAAAAAUAAAUAAAUAAAAUAAGUAAAUAAAUAAAAACAGGAAGCAAUAACAGCAACCUUUUGUUUUUCCUUUUUUGAUUUCCAAUUCGUAAUCCUCCCCCGUUACAUUGAUAUUGUGGCUUUUAUAGCCAGAUGUUUUACAUUUUUUUCUUUUCUCUUUUCUUCUUGCCUUGUUGUUAUUUCUUCUUUUGCAGGUAUUCCUUUCGGCUUUCUUUUGCAGAUGCUGCGGUCAACAGAGGCAAAGACUUGCCGUUUUGGUGCAUGGCUGGCUGGUGGUGGCAGACCUCGUGCGUAGUGCGCGCUGAAGGCGCACAUGGGGUAGCAGCGGCGCGAGGCAAGGUAGGGAACCCUAGGGUUCCCUGAUGCUGUUUAAUUUUGGGCCCCAUUGGGCCAGUUAGGGUUUUUAAAAAUGGGCCAUUUCAACCCAAUGUACAUAGA
RNAcentral lists this long non-coding RNA (689 nucleotides) under Gossypium raimondii (Peruvian cotton). RNAcentral's name for it is "long non-coding RNA (GRAI_LNC006593)". Lineage: Eukaryota; Viridiplantae; Streptophyta; Magnoliopsida; Malvales; Malvaceae. The record is from RNAcentral.